RNAcentral lists this ribosomal RNA (114 nucleotides) under Acanthosepion pharaonis. Lineage: Eukaryota; Metazoa; Mollusca; Cephalopoda; Sepiida; Sepiidae. The record is from RNAcentral.
UUACGGUCAAAUCACGCUCAAACACCGGUUCUCGUACGAUCACCGAAGUUAAGCAGCGUAGAGCCAGGUCAGUACUUAGAUGGGGGACCGCUUGGGAACACCUGGUACUGUAAG